RNAcentral lists this long non-coding RNA (2846 nucleotides) under Heterocephalus glaber (naked mole-rat). Its description in RNAcentral is "lncRNA (ENSHGLG00100049696.1)". The record is from RNAcentral. Lineage: Eukaryota; Metazoa; Chordata; Mammalia; Rodentia; Bathyergidae.
CGGGGCGCCGCGGGCUGCUGGAGUCGAGGGGGAAGGGGCUGAGUAGCUGCGGCUCAGGAGUGGAAAUGCUGCGGCGAGGGGCUCUGCAGGCCCGUCGAGGAGUCCAAAGGCAUUUGGAGUCAGUCCGAGCCUGGGUGCAUGCUCUUGUUAUUUAUUUUCGCUCCAGGCAAAGCGAUUUGGCGGGAGAGGGUUGGGACUCCAAGACAACUCCAUUGCUGGAGGAGGCCCCAACCUGGGAGAAGAGAGGUUUAGAGAAAUCAGUAGAGCUCAGAGAAGCGAAACCGAAAGGGGGUGUUGGGGACAAGGAGGAGGGAUCCAAGAGGGAGAGUGCAUCCAGGCUGGGUUCUGAAGGAUGAACCGGAGCUCGCGGGCAGGGGGGAGGGGCGAGUGUACCGAGGGCCGCGGCCUUCCAGGAAGAAGGGACAGCGCGUCCUAAGGCACAGGAGCGUGAAAGCCCCCACGGUGCUGUGUUUGGCUUUGUUGCAGCGGAAAAAAGCGAGGGAGGAGAGACAGGAGAUAAGGCUGGCGCGGGAUCGAACUCGGGACCUUGUGGUUGCGAGGCAGGCGGCGGAACCACUGAGGAAAUGUGGACCUUCCAGACGGUUGAUGCCAUUUCCCAGGAACCUGGGAUCUUGGCAGACGAUGCUGACAUAUUCUCAAAGACUGGUUGGUGGAGUUUGCUCGAUUUUGGUUCCUCUUUCAAAAUGUCCUCACUGGCGCAUUUGUUCAUUUUCUCUUUUUCACUCGGGCCCCAUCAAUGUGUUCCAGCAGCCCCUGUUGCUCUUUUCUUCGCCCAGACAAGCAGAUUUUCCUACAGCUUCAGAACUGGAGCUGGCCUUUGUUACUGGUGAUGUGGUUGACUUAGGUUUAGGGGCCAUGCAGUAAGGAAACCUCAUAAGACCCAGAGAUUUACAGAGCCUGGGCCAGGGAGUUGCUUCCUGCAAGGAGCUCGGACACCUGAGCCUCUGAGAGGCAGGGAGCGCUGUCCCUGGAGUUCGGACCUGGUAGACAUUCCUGCAAGUUCACGGAGUGACCUUGAGACUGGACUGGCCCCGGCUCCAGCUCCGUCUAUUUCUAUUCCCGUCCAGAUGCCAAUUUGGGCUUAGUCCUUCUGGGAGAGAAUCAAGGCCAGUGUGUCUCGAGCAUAGCAGGUGGUGAGUGUCCCCUCCAGUGGGGACAGACAGAGGGGAACAGAGGGAGCCAGGGCCCCAGAGGCCCAGCAUGAAAAAUUUGGAUUUCAUUCCAAGUAAAAUGGAUUGAAGCGGGAGAGUGACUUAAAAUGAUUAACCUCAUAAAUAUCAAGUGUCGGCAAAGACGAGGAGCAAAGGAGUCCCUCCUAGGUGCUGGAGGUUGGUAGUUGUACAAGCCAGUGUUAGAGUUGGACCAGCACAUAUUCCACAACCCAGCAAGUCUGCUCCUGCAUAUGUGUCUCAGAGAAACGUGUGUGUGUAGGAAUGUUCCUAAUGAGGCUAUCACAGUGUCCAUCAGCAAGAGGAUGGACAAGUGCAUUGUGGUAUAUUCUUACAAUGGAGUGAAAAAGAAUAAACCACUGCUCUGUUCAAGAACAUGUAUGUAAUCUUAUGUAUCUCAUCAUAUGUAAUGAUGAGACUGAGUGGUAACAUACAGAAUAUAUAUGAUGUGAUUCAAUGGAUGCAAAGCUUAAGGAAAGGUAAAACAAAGCAAUAACAUUGAAGAAUGCACAUAUAGAUGGUGAAAUUGUAAAGAGAAGCAAGAAAAAAUGUCUUUUGACAGAUGAAUGUAGAAAAUGUGAUAUAAUGUGAGUACUAAAGAAUGAUAUCGUGCCAGUUUUUUUUUGGUACCAGGGAUCGAACUUGGAUCCUUGUGGUUGUGCAGCAGGCAGCAAAACCACUGAGUUAAAUCCCCAGCCCUGUCUUGCCAUUUUUAAUAGCAUGGAUGUACCUAGAAGAACUUAUGCUAAAUGAAAUAAGCUAGUCAUAUAGGGGCAAGGACUGCAGGCUUCCACUUAGAUGAGGUAACUAAAAGAGUCAAACUCACAGAAUCCAGAAUAGAAGGGUGAUCGCCAGAGGCUGGAGGUCUGGGAGGGGAAAUGAAAGUGGGAAAUUGUUCUUCAAAGAGUGUACCUUCUAUUAUGCAAGAUGAAUAAUCUCUAGAGAUCUGCUGUACAAGAUAGAAUCUGUAGUUAAUAAGGGCUUGUGCACUUCAAAGUACGUUAAGAGGAUACAUCUCACGUUAAGUGUUUGUUAUAUUUUGUGUGUAAUUUGUGUCUUUCCCAACAGUCCAUAUGGAAAAGCUUAGACCCCAGGGUGGCAGUAUUGUGGGGUCCUGUGAACCAUUAAGGGGUGUGGCUUAGCGGGGGGCUCUUAGGUCACUGUAAGUGUGCCCUCUCGGGGAAUUGUGGCACCUCAUUCUCUUCCUCCUCCUUGCUCUGCUCCAAUUGGAGAUGUGAAUGUUUUUCUCCAGCGUGUUCCCAUCCAUGCCAUGAGGUGCUGAAGUGAAGGCAUGGCUCUCACCAAGCUUGUACUAUACUGUUUGGGCUUUGAACCUCCCAAAAUUGUGAGCUAAAUAAACCAUUUAUCUUUAGUGUUAAAGCUGACCAACACAGUAUUCUUCCAAAACAAAACUAAACAACAACACCCAGACAAACAAAAAGCCCCAAUGCUCAUGAAAGAACACAAAUUUUUGGAGGUUAUGUUUAGUACCUUGAUUGAAGUGGUGAUAAUCAUGGGUUUAUUUAUAUCUCCAGAUGCAUUAAGGAAUACAUUAAAUAGGUGUGAUUUUAAUGUAUCAAUUUUACCUCAAUAAAACCAAAAGAGAAGAAAAAAAAAGAAAAAAGAAAAGUAAGGAAAGAUGAUGAUAUAAAACAG